CCUACGGUGAGCUGCAGUGGGGAAUAUUGGGCAAUGGGCGCAAGCCUGACCCAGCAACGCCGCGUGAAGGAAGAAGGCUUUCGGGUUGUAAACUUCUUUUAUCAGGGACGAAGCAAGUGACGGUACCUGAUGACUAAGCCACGGCUAACUACGUGCCAGCAGCCGCGGUAAUACGUAGGUGGCAAGCGUUAUCCGGAUUUACUGGGUGUAAAGGGAGUGUAGGCGGGAGUGCAAGUCAGAUGUGAAAACUAUGGGCUCAACCCAUAGCCUGCAUUUGAAACUGUACUUCUUGAGUGCUGGAGAGGCAAUCGGAAUUCCGUGUGUAGCGGUGAAAUGCGUAGAUAUACGGAGGAACACCAGUGGCGAAGGCGGAUUGCUGGACAGUAACUGACGCUGAGGCGCGAAAGCGUGGGGAGCAAACAGGAUUAGAUACCCGAGUAGUC
RNAcentral lists this ribosomal RNA (443 nucleotides) under uncultured bacterium. Its description in RNAcentral is "partial 16S ribosomal RNA". It matches the Rfam family "Bacterial small subunit ribosomal RNA", at positions 338 to 795 of the family's 1533-position model. The record is from RNAcentral.